Molecule: ribosomal RNA, 253 nt
Filed under: uncultured bacterium
Lineage: Bacteria
Description: partial 16S ribosomal RNA
Rfam family: Bacterial small subunit ribosomal RNA
Source: RNAcentral
UACGUAGGUGGCAAGCGUUGUCCGGAAUUAUUGGGCGUAAAGCGCGCGCAGGCGGUUCUUUAAGUCUGAUGUGAAAGCCCACGGCUCAACCGUGGAGGGUCAUUGGAAACUGGGGAACUUGAGUACAGAAGAGGAAAGCGGAAUUCCACGUGUAGCGGUGAAAUGCGUAGAUAUCGGGAGGAACACCAGUGGCGAAGGCGACUACCUGGCCUGUUCUUGACGCUGAGGCGCGAAAGCUAGGGGAGCAAACGGG